GUGCCUGAGAUGAAUGGAACUCUUGAAGUGUUGAGGUGAUCCUAAAUGAUCUGAGUCUACCGUGGAGCUUUAUUUACUCUGUUGCUAUUGUCUGAGACACUUAGGCAAAGUAAUGCGUUUCUCCUUUAGGGAAUAUGACUACUAACCUACUUAACCAAAUGUAGGGAUGGGGAGCAAACAUUCUUCCAGAAAGUUAUUUUUAUAAUAGUAAGAGGACCUAUUCUCAUGUAUGUAUUUUGGUUCUUUGCCCCAAAAUUCUAGUUAUGUUAGCAGUGGCUCUAUAUACUGAGAACUAGUUUGGUACUUAAUAUAUUCUAUAGAGUAGAAUUGUAACUUUGAAGGUUAUUUUCCCUUUAGUGAAUUGAGUCUUGAGAUCUCCAUGAUAUUUCAUUAAAACAGCAGCUAUUGAGUUAUGGGGCACCAUGGUAAGACCAGCACAACUUCUGGUAUGAGCCAUUUCCUAUAAUUUAAAAUGAAUCUCCCAGUUUUGGAGAUGUUGUUUGGGGUUCCAUGGUGAUGGAAAAGGUUAAUAAUGUAAUGUAGACCCUCUCAGGGGCAAAACAGAGUAGAAAGUGGAAAGUGGAACAGAUCUGUCAGAAUAAAUGGAAAAUAUUUCAGCACAUAAGAAAACUUUACUGUUUAGAAGGAGGAGGAAGAUUAAAGGAUGAUUAGAAAAAAAUAAUUGGCUAGGAGGAAAAGCAGGUAGCUUACUGGUAACACAAAUUUGGUUGAUUUUGUUCUUUUAAGAUUAUCAGGAAAAACAAGAUAGUAUGGGCUUCAAUUAAAAAACAAAUGUAAAUGGAGAGAAAAUAAUAAUAAGUCAACCCUUUUGAACUUCUUUGACAUUCUGAUGAUAGAUACUCACAUCUAAUAUAAGAAUAAUAUGGUAUAAGCCAUAAAAAUAGUUCUAUUAGAUAUUUGUGUUCAUAGAAAGUGUCCAAGAAAUUUCCCUCAGUGAAACAAUCUCUUAUUUGUUCAACUGAGUAACUAUCAGGUGCCAUAUAUUGGCCAAAGCACCAGGUACAUGGGAAUGAAAAGCUUUGGAUCCCAAGAAGCCAACAGUCUAAUAGCCAAAGAGACAUGAAAACAACAUAAAUAAUACAAGUGGUCAUUGCUAUGAAUAAAAAAAGGAGCAAAUUUGGCUUAAAGUUCUGGGAUGGAAAGGGAAAAGGAUGAAGGAGAGCUCAGGGGAAACUGCACAAAGUACCUGACUCUUGGGGAAAAUGGUAUUAUUCAAUAAACAAACAAAUAAGCCAACAGAAGAAGGAAGUUAUUACAAGCAGAGCUAAAAGCAGGUGCAAUCAUAGGGAGGUAUGGAAUAUUUAGGACAAUAGUUCAGUGAAACUGUAAUAGAUGAUGUGAGAGGGAAAGAGGUGGGGCAUGAGGCUUGUGAGGGUGUGACAGACAGGAGGCUGAUGUCAAUUAUUCUUGCUGUCCAUUCACUGUGUAAAUGAAUGGUAUCUGAUUUUUCUUACAACAUAUAUCUAUGGGAAUUAGAGAAGCCACAGCUAGAUAUUUCCUUCACUACUUGUACUAAUUUGCAAAAAAAAAUAUGAUCUUCCAAGUUAUUAAGCUUAUAUUCAGCAACUUGUUGUCGAAAAAAGUGUGUUUUCUGGGCCCCCUAAAAAUAUUAGAUGAAUAAUUAGGUUUGCUAAAAGUUCAAUCACAUAUUCUUAAAUAAUAUAAAUGUAUAUAUGGUAUAUUAAUAACUUAUUAAAGUUAUUUUAGUUUUCAAAUGGCUUUCAAAAUAUUUCAAAUAUAAGAAAAUACAAAAGUACUCAAUAUUAGGUUGGGUUAUUAUUUGUUAUUAUUUAGUAAUGUCUAACAUAACACAUAUAUUAACUUAGAGGUUAGAGGCAGAGGAAAUUGGAAU
This 1873-nucleotide long non-coding RNA is filed under the name Marmota monax (woodchuck). The record is from RNAcentral. Lineage: Eukaryota; Metazoa; Chordata; Mammalia; Rodentia; Sciuridae.